UAGCAAUAUAGGCCUUGGCGCAAUGAGAGAGACCCGGGGGAGAGGUGACGAUCCCCAGCGAGGCUGCACAGAUCGGCGAGGGCGGCGACGGACCGAGGGAGGAGUUGUGGGAUCAGCGGGGGUGAAGCGCGCCCCAGUUCACCCGAAUAUUCAGAGUUCGACUCAGACAGAACCGACAUUUAAAUUCCCAUCUCGCCCGCCUCACUUUCCAUCUGGUCCAAACGGGUGGGGCCGGGCUGGGCUGGGGGCCGGCCUGUGGAGGUGCGUUGGGGGCCUCGGGGAAUGGAGCCGCCGCUGAGAUGCUCAUUGCUUCAUUGGGAUUCUCACUGGAUCCAAUCACACUGUCAAGCUUGGAUGGGAGGCCUGUCUCCUCACUUCUCCUCCUGCUCUCACAGCCACAACCACAACGUGAGAUGAGAGACAGCCACCCGCAGUCCGACACCCAAAAGGUUUGGGAACAACAUUUUUUUUUAUUUCGGGGAAUUUGUUUUGGAGUCAAA
Long non-coding RNA from Scophthalmus maximus (turbot), 500 nucleotides. RefSeq lists it as uncharacterized. Lineage: Eukaryota; Metazoa; Chordata; Actinopteri; Pleuronectiformes; Scophthalmidae. The transcript is spliced from 3 exons. The record is from RefSeq and is a predicted model, not a curated record.